AUUGAACGCUGGCGGCAUGCCUUACACAUGCAAGUCGAACAGCAGCGCGGACUUCGGUCUGGCGGCGAGUGGCGAACGGGUGAGUAAUACAUCGGAACGUACCCUGUUGUGGGGGAUAACUAGUCGAAAGAUUAGCUAAUACCGCAUACGGCCUGAGGGUGAAAGUGGGGGACCGCAAGGCCUCACGCAGCAGGAGCGGCCGAUGUCUGAUUAGCUAGUUGGUGGGGUAAAGGCCCACCAAGGCGACGAUCAGUAGCUGGUCUGAGGGGACGAUCAGCAACACUGGGACUGAGACACGGCCCAGACUCCUACGGGAGGCAGCAGUGGGGAAUUUUGGACAAUGGGGGCAACCCUGAUCCAGCAAUGCCGCGUGUGUGAAGAAGGCCUUCGGGUUGUAAAGCACUUUUGUCCGGAAAGAAAUCGCGCUGGUUAAUACCUGGCGUGGAUGACGGUACCGGAAGAAUAAGCACCGGCUAACUACGUGCCAGCCGCCGCCGUAA
This 500-nucleotide ribosomal RNA is filed under the name uncultured bacterium. RNAcentral describes it as "partial 16S ribosomal RNA". It matches the Rfam family "Bacterial small subunit ribosomal RNA", at positions 30 to 523 of the family's 1533-position model. The record is from RNAcentral.